Mugil cephalus (flathead mullet) is the source of this 2760-nucleotide non-coding RNA. The record is from the annotation of a RefSeq genome assembly. NCBI's taxonomy places the organism in Eukaryota, Metazoa, Chordata, Actinopteri, Mugiliformes, Mugilidae.
GCGAGAGAGAGAAAAAAACACCGAUGAAAAGUUUCCUAAAACUUUUUAAAAGUUUAGAAUGAGUAGAGAAUCAUGUUUUCAUUCAACAUGUUCCUGCUGGUGUUUGUAGUUCUUCUGGGGACAGUAGUGACGGUAAACAGCGAUCAUCGUGAGGUGGAGAUGUUUUCAAAGAGCGUUGAUGUUGGUGCAGAGAUUGGUAGUCACAUGCAUUUAACGUGUAGAGUCAGUGGCUUCAACACAUCAGACAUCAUCCUGAACAUGAAGAAGAAUCACUGUGUUCUGACUGAAGAGGACAAAGUGGAGACUUCAGGAGUUAAACUACACCAAGGCACCUACUGGAGAGAAGACGAUGUCAUCAUUUUAAAGUCUGAAGUGUCUCAUUACAGCUGUGAAGUCGUUCAUGCUGCAUCUCGUUUUCGUGUUGAGAAGGUUUGGGAUCCUGACUCUGUUGGAGGACGGAUCAUUUCAUCUAAGUUCAUAGACACAAAUCAACCUCAUGUAUUGAUGUUUCCAGAGAACUCUGAAGUUCAGACCAACAUCACUGUGACGUGUCUGGUCUCAGGCUUCUACCCAAACAACAUCACUCUGAAUAUGAAGAGGAACGGCCGUAUUCUAACCAGAGAGGACGGAGUGAUGAGUUCAGGAGUUUGUUCAUAUGAAGACGGCACCUUCCAGAGGAGAGACUCUGUGGAGAUUAAAAAAUCAGAGAUGUCUAAUUACAGCUGUGAAGUCAUUCAUGAUGCAUCUGGUUCACGAGUUGAGAAGUUUUCACAUCAUCCUGAUGUGAAAAUGUUUGCAGAGAACUCUGAAGUUAAGACCAACGUCAUUGUGACGUGUCUGGUCUCAGGCUUCUACCCAAACAACAUCAUCCUGAAUAUGAAGAGGAACGGCCGUAUUCUAACCAGAGAGGACGGAGUGAAGAGUUCAGGAGUUUGUUCAUAUGAAGACGACACCUUCCAGAGAAGAGACUCUGUGGAGAUUAAAACAUCAGACACGUCUAAUUUCAGCUGUGAAGUCAUUCAUGAUGCAUCUGGUUCACAAGUUGAGAAGUUUUGGGAUCAUCAUCUUCCUCACUCUGGUGGAGUUGCUGUCAUCAUUGGUGCAGUAGUAGGAGUCCUGCUCCUGGUCCUGGUUCUAGUUGUGGUGCUGGUGGUACUGAAGAAAAAAGGCAUCCUUGGAACUGCUGCUAAUGAGGCUCCAGUAAACUACACCUCAGCUAAACCAGCUCCUUCAGCUCCUCCACCAGGUCAGUGUUUUAUUUUUCUGUUACUGAUUCAGUUAAGUUAUUUUUUCAGUGACAUGUUAUUAAUCCAGCUACAGUCCUGUAAAUGUCACCAUGUGAUGUUAGAACCAGAGUUAUCGUAAAGCUAAUUAACCCUAUUAAAACAGAUGAUCACAUUUAAAAUGAAACAGUGUUUGACUGAAGUGAUGGUUGAUGAAUUGAUUCAUCUACAUUUUAAGUUCAUUAUAUAAAGAAUAGAAAAAUCUGAUUGGAAGCAGUAAAUAAUUGAAUUUCUGUUAUGAAAUCACUACAAAACAGGAAAUAAAUGUAAAAAUAAAUAAAUAAACAUAAAGCUGUAAUAUUUCCUCUGUGUGUAGGUGGUAAUGAUGUGAACGAUCUACCCCUGGAUGGACAACCAAAGAAGAACGGUUCCAUCCCUGUCUCUGCAAAUGGCAACGCACUCACCAACGCUGAGCUGAAUGGAAAUGUCCAGCAUCACAUCAACACUCCAUCAGGUCCAUCCAGCAGUGAGCAGGAGGCUCCAGAGUAAAUCAAAACUAAAGUUUACAUAUAAGGGAACAAGCCACGUUUACAUUCAUCUGACUUCUGGGUGAAACUGCAUCGGUCUUCACGGCUCUGCCUUCCAUCAGUGACGGGUCUGAAUCUACUGGAACGACACGAAGAAAUACUUGACACGACACCAAAGAAACUGGAUUCUUGAAUACAUAACACAGUAUUUCACACAAAAGAAGGUUUUCUACGUGGUCAACACGUCAACACCAGCCCCACCCUCACCCUGACACUAGUCACCAACAGAACAUGCUGUAAACACAGCAAUAGAACUGUUACUCCAGAUAUGUGCUGCUGUACACGUCAGGAUACUUUAACUGACACCUAAAGCAGUAUUUCUCUGAUCCUUCUCUGUGUCCUGGAGCUAAAGCUCUAAUAACUUUAUCAGAGAACUGAUGUGCUGCCUCCUUCUCUCUGGUACCACGGGAGCUUUUACAAAAGCCUUACAGUAGCAGUGGUACUUUUAUUUAGUACUACUUAAAAAAAAAAAAAAAAAAAACUACAAUUAAUAAAGAAGCUGCUCAUCUUGCUUUCAUUGUGGUGCCAUAAUGAAGAUGUUUUUAUUCUUGAAAUAAUGCUCUUGUUCCAUAUUGGAAAGGACCUUCUUUAUUGGUGAAAUCUUGAAUUUCACAGCACUGUUGUUCUUUUGUUUAAAAUGUUUUUCUUAAUUUUUUGUACUGUAACUUGAUUUAUUACAGUGAAGCCAAACUGUCUCUCAGGAAAUACGAGAGAACAACAAAGAAACGUGUUUUACAUGAUGACAUGGACUGUGAAGGCAGUAGCUGGAAAUAUAUGAAAUACUUGUUCUGUCUAAAAAGAAAGAACAUUUUAUGUAAUGUUUUUAUAUGUUUAUAUUUACAUGAACACUGUAAAAUAAAUGUUCAGAGUGUUAUUAUAUCAGUGUCUUGAUAUAUUUUACAGUGUUUCUCGUGGUCCAUUUAUUUUAAAGUUUAAACUUGUGUUUCCCA